RNAcentral lists this ribosomal RNA (274 nucleotides) under uncultured bacterium. RNAcentral describes it as "partial 16S ribosomal RNA". It matches the Rfam family "Bacterial small subunit ribosomal RNA", at positions 523 to 796 of the family's 1533-position model. The record is from RNAcentral.
CUACAGAGGGUGCAAGCGUUAUUCGGAAUUACUGGGCGUAAAGCGCGCGUAGGCGGAUGAUUAAGUCAGUUGUGAAAGCCCUGGGCUCAACCUAGGAACUGCAUCUGAUACUGGUCGUCUAGAGUUUAAGAGAGGGAAGUGGAAUUCCAGGUGUAGCAGUGAAAUGCGUAGAUAUCUGGAGGAACAUCAGUGGCGAAGGCGACUUCCUGGCUUAAAACUGACGCUGAGGUGCGAAAGCGUGUGUAGCGAACGGGAUUAGAUACCCCAGUAGUCC